RNAcentral lists this ribosomal RNA (744 nucleotides) under uncultured bacterium. Its description in RNAcentral is "bacterial SSU rRNA". It matches the Rfam family "Bacterial small subunit ribosomal RNA", at positions 8 to 796 of the family's 1533-position model. The record is from RNAcentral.
AGAGUUUGAUCAUGGCUCAGAACGAACGCUGGCGGCAGGCCUCAAACAUGCAAGUCUAGGGGGCGUAGCAAUACGUCACCGGCGGACGGGUGCGUAACACGUGGGAAUAUACCUUUCGGUACGGAACAACUGAGGGAAACUUCAGCUAAUACCGUAUACGUCCUAACGGAGAAAGAUUUAUCGCCGAAGGAUUAGCCCGCGUUCGAUUAGCUAGUUGGUGAGGUAAUGGCUCACCAAGGCAACGAUCGAUAGCUGUUCUGAGAGGAAGAUCAGCCACAUUGGGACUGAGGCACGGCCCAAACUCCUACGGGAGGCAGCAGUGGGGAAUAUUGGACAAUGGGCGCAAGCCUGAUCCAGCCAUGCCGCGUGAGUGAUGAAGGCCCUAGGGUUGUAAAGCUCUUUUGUGCGGGAAGAUAAUGACGGUACCGCAAGAAUAAGCCCCGGCUAACUUCGUGCCAGCAGCCGCGGUAAUACGAAGGGGGCUAGCGUUGCUCGGAAUCACUGGGCGUAAAGGGUGCGUAGGCGGGUCUUUAAGUCAGGGGUGAAAUCCUGGAGCUCAACUCCAGAACUGCCUUUGAUACUGAAGAUCUUGAGUUCGGGAGAGGUGAGUGGAACUGCGAGUGUAGAGGUGAAAUUCGUAGAUAUUCGCAAGAACACCAGUGGCGAAGGCGGCUCACUGGCCCGAUACUGACGCUGAGGCACGAAAGCGUGGGGAGCAAACAGGAUUAGAUACCCUAGUAGUCC